AAAGCAGCCACCUUCUAAAAAGCGUUAAAGCUUUAUUAACUUCACUAAAAAAUUCCUCUAACUACUUAAAACCCUCACUCUGUACUGAAUAAUUUUAUAGAACUAUAAAAACUAUUAUGUUAGAACUAGUAACAAGAAGAAACCCUUCUCCAAAAAUGUAAGCAUAGGCCAAAAUGAAUAAUUCAUUGGCAGUUAAAGUUUUUAAGCCCAUAGUAGCAACUUACCAAGAAAAACCUACUUACUUCAACGUUAACCUUACACCAGCACAUUUCUGGAAAGAUUAAAAGAAUGGGAAGGAACUCGGCAAACUAUAACCCCGCCUGUUUACCAAAAACAUCGCCUCUUGAUACCCAUAAGAGGUCCAGCCUGCCCAGUGACUAAGUUAAACGGCCGCGGUACCCUAACCGUGCAAAGGUAGCGCAAUCACUUGUUCUUUAAAUGAGGACUAGUAUGAAUGGCAUCACGAGGGUUACACUGUCUCCCCACUCAACUCAGUGAAACUGAUCUUCCCGUGAAGAAGCGGGAAUAAAAAUAUAAGACGAGAAGACCCCAUGGAGCUUAAAACUCAGAGUUAACUGCCACUUCUUUAGCCUAGUACCCACGCAGAAAUAACUUCUAGUUUUCGGUUGGGGUGACCGCGGAGUAAAACACAACCUCCACGAAGAAAGGAACUUAUACCCUAAUCCAAGAGCUACAGCUCUAAGAAUUAAAACAUUAACCUAAUUGAUCCAAGCACUUGAUCAACGAACCAAGUUACCCUGGGGAUAACAGCGCAAUCCAUUUCAAGAGCUCAUAUCGACAAAUGGGUUUACGACCUUGAUGUUGGAUCAGGAUAUCCCAGUGUGCGCAGC
Molecule: ribosomal RNA, 851 nt
Filed under: Microhyla picta (painted rice frog)
Lineage: Eukaryota; Metazoa; Chordata; Amphibia; Anura; Microhylidae
Description: partial large subunit ribosomal RNA
Rfam family: Bacterial large subunit ribosomal RNA
Source: RNAcentral